RNAcentral lists this transfer RNA (78 nucleotides) under Burkholderia sp. Bp9125. RNAcentral describes it as "tRNA-Asn". It matches the Rfam family "tRNA". Rfam says of the family: Transfer RNA (tRNA) molecules are approximately 80 nucleotides in length. Their secondary structure includes four short double-helical elements and three loops (D, anti-codon, and T loops). Further hydrogen bonds mediate the characteristic L-shaped molecular structure. tRNAs have two regions of fundamental functional importance: the anti-codon, which is responsible for specific mRNA codon recognition, and the 3' end, to which the tRNAs corresponding amino acid is attached (by aminoacyl-tRNA synthetases). tRNAs cope with the degeneracy of the genetic code in two manners: having more than one tRNA (with a specific anti-codon) for a particular amino acid; and 'wobble' base-pairing, i.e. permitting non-standard base-pairing at the 3rd anti-codon position. The record is from RNAcentral. Lineage: Bacteria; Pseudomonadati; Pseudomonadota; Betaproteobacteria; Burkholderiales; Burkholderiaceae.
UCCCCAGUAGCUCAUCGAUGGUAGAGCGCCGGACUGUUAAUCCGGAGCGGGUAGGUUCAAGCCCUACCUGGGGAGCCA